This is a long non-coding RNA of Phodopus roborovskii (desert hamster), 427 nucleotides long. RefSeq lists it as uncharacterized. The transcript is spliced from 6 exons. NCBI's taxonomy places the organism in Eukaryota, Metazoa, Chordata, Mammalia, Rodentia, Cricetidae. The record is from RefSeq and is a predicted model, not a curated record.
AUAUCCUGCUUAGGUCCAAUGACCCUAAGCCACACAAUUCCUGGGAGACCCUCUGCACCCUUGUCUACAAGGGUCUCCUGACACUCAGGUUCUCACAGCUCAGAGGCGGUGAGCUUGAGGUAUUUGUUUUAUCUUGAUCUCUCUCUCUGACAAAAGACUCCAAAUGACGAGGAACUCACUGAAGACACUAACCAAAAGAUGGCAGUCUUGGAAGUAAUUUUAGCUGUCACCUUGAGUCUGCUGGGUCUUGCUAUCCUGGCUAUCCUGAUAAUAAGAUGGACACGGAGGCGUAGGCAAAAUGAGGCACGGAUCUCCAGAUACACUUCAGAACAGAGUGCUGGUCUUCUGGAGUAUGAGGACGGUGUUUCCUCGGGGAGACGUAAGAAAGGAAGAGGAGGGUCCCGAAGUUCGUUUUCAACAGGAAGUG